Molecule: non-coding RNA, 85 nt
Organism: Candidatus Burkholderia pumila
Lineage: Bacteria; Pseudomonadati; Pseudomonadota; Betaproteobacteria; Burkholderiales; Burkholderiaceae
Source: Rfam
GAGAGCCGUAUGCAUCAAAGGUGCACGUACGGUUCGGAGGGAGCUGACGGGUGAUCCUUAACGGGACGCCCGCAGCCUACCCUAC